Non-coding RNA from Nicotiana tabacum (common tobacco), 4854 nucleotides. The record is from RefSeq and is a predicted model, not a curated record. NCBI's taxonomy places the organism in Eukaryota, Viridiplantae, Streptophyta, Magnoliopsida, Solanales, Solanaceae.
AAAACUCUAAAAGGAGGAAGGAGCAAAACAUAUCAAAUUUUCCCCAACCCUAGCACAAUUUUUCCACCAUCUCCAAAAGAGAACCCUUCCCCAUUUUUAGAAACCAGCGACUCUCCCUCCGUCACUCAGAUCAGAAGCAGAGACGAACUAUUCUACCGCACGAAAAACUUCGCCGCCUAAUUCAUCUUCUCCAAAAAUCGGACAGACCUUACUCUUUCUCUUCUAAAAAUCAGUCGAUACACACGCAUCUGAAGGCUCGCACACUAGAAGAACUAAGCUUAGAGCUAGAAACAAAAAAUAUUCAAAAAUUUAAAAACUCAAAAAGAAGAGAUAUGAAAACAAGCUUUGGGGAAUGAUUUUUUUUUUGGUUUUAAAGGCUGCCGAAAGUUGUUGAAUUUGCUGCUUCUACUUUUUGCUGAGUUCCGUUUGGGUUGGCUUCUGGUCUUUAGUCUAUUUGUUCAAGUUUUUCUUUGUUUGCCCAGGAUGCAGAAUGGGUGAAUGCAAUGCAAGAUUGGAAGCAAUUAGACUCCUUAUAGCCUUUGCUGCUUACAUGAAAUUCACUCUCCAUCAAAUGAAUGUCAAGAGCGCCUUCCUCAAUGGCUAUUUAAAAGAAGAAGUGUUUGUCAAGCAACCUUCGGUCUUUGAAAGCAAGGAAUGUCCGGAUCAUGUGUACAAGUUUGACAAGGCACUUUAUGGACUUAAGCAGGCUCCAAGAGCAUAGUAUAAAAGACUAUCAAAAUUCUUGCUUGAGGAUGACUACAAGAGAGGUAAAAUUGACAAUACUUUAUUCUUGAAAGAAAAAGGUAAAAAUCUCUUGGUAGUUCAGAUAUAUGUUGAUGAUAUAAUCUUUGGAGCAAAUAUUGAUAAGCUCGGUAGAGAAUUUGCUAAACUAAUAGGGAGUGAAUUUGAAAUAAGUAUGAUGGGUGAGUUUAAUUUCUUUUUAGGCUUACAAAUUAAACAAAACUCAAAUGGAACUAUGAUCCAUCAACAGAAUUAUGUGAAAGAGUGACUUAAAAGGUUUAAAAUGGAAAGUUCCAAUGAAAUUGAUACUCCUAUAGUAACAACCACAAAAUUAGAUAUAGAUGAACCGGUUCAUCUAUUGAUCAGAAGUUGUAUAGGGGAAUGAUUGGUUCUUUGUUAUAUCUCACUGCCAGCAGACCUAACAUUGUUUUUAGUGUAGGCCUUCGUGCUCGAUUUCAGGAAAAUCCAAAUGAGUCUCACUUGAUUCUGUCAAGAGAAUCUUGAGAUACCUAAAGGUCACCACUGACCUUUGUCUAUGAUAUCAAAAAGGUAGUAACUUCAACUUAGUGGGAUAUGCUGAUACUGAUUAUUCAGGUUUUCUUGUGGAUAGAAAGAGAACCUUAGGUAUGAGACAAUUUCUUGGCUCAUGUCUUGUGUCUUCGGCUACUAAAGAUCAAAAUUCUGUGGUCUUAUCUACUUUUGAAGGUUGUAUUCUCAUAUUUUGUGAUAAUACUAGUGCAAUUAGUAUGACCAAGAACCCAGUUCAUCAUAAGAGAACUUACCACACAGAUGUUAGGCAUCAUCUUUUGAGGGACAACUAUGAGAAUGGGUUGAUCACUGUGGAAUUUUGUACUACGGACAAGCAAAUAUCUGACAUCUUCAAAAAAGCUCUAAGUAGAGAUCACUUUGAAAGGAACAUGUUAGAAUUAGGAAUGAUUAAGAUCAUCUAAAAGGAACCAGUUCUAACUCAAAUAUUUGGUUAGAAAAUUGGGAAUUUUUGUACAUAAUUAGAGUAGAUUUUGCUCAGUCUCAUGCUUUCAUCAGUAUACUCUUGUGCCGUGUGCUAAAAUGACUCAUUAAUCUCUAAUGAUAAUAUCUCUAUUUUCUGGGAAAGUUCAGACUUACACAAGAGAUUUCUCAGUGAAGAACCUAGUUUAUCAAUAUUACUUGGUAUGUAUUCUCCACCCUACAUAUUUUGAAAUAAUUAUAUUUGGAUCAUGAUUAAGAGAAGAGUCCCAUUUAAUCCCAAACCCUUUUGAACUUAUCCAUUAUGAAAUGAACCGGUUUCGUUCAAAAGUAGUCCAAAUCUGCAUUAAGUGCCUAGAUUCUAGUGACACUCUUCAACGUCUUUUCAAACAAAAUUCAGUUUGAUUAGACUUCUGGAAAAGGCGGCUGUUACCCAAUUAAACACCCCCUUCUUAAAUUAAUAAGGCCUUAGUGUUUCUUCAUUCUAAUUUUCAAGCCAUCAAAAUUCUCUCCAUCUUCUCUCAUCAUGCAAACACACUCAACCUCAUCUUUUCUCCUACCUAAGCAUAGAAAUGGCUAACCACUCUAAGAAUCCCUCAUCGCCACCCAAGAAAAUCACACCCACACUACCUACUACACCUUCAACCACUCCCAUCUCUAAGAAAGGAAGGGUAAAGAUGGUGGAGAUGCGGGGUAUGAGAGAAAUAGGGGGAAAUGGGUCUAGAGGAGCUGCUAAGGGGUUGGUUCAAUUAGGGAAGGAUGCUCAAGAACCUAUUUCUUUUGAGCGGGAAACCCUCGCAGACCUAGUGAGAAAUGUAUCUGACAGUUACAAUCCUAAAAGAAAAAAGGAGUUUAGGAGUGAAAGUCCCAGGUACUGCCAGGGCAAAUAAGAAAAGAAAGACUGCUUCAUCAAUCCCUAUAGAGACUUCUCCUACAAGAGGAAGAGCUACAAGGAGUCAGAAAAAGCAAAGUAAGGCUGAGCUGGAAAAAGCCUUAGAAGAAAGUAAGAAGAAAGCUUCUGCUAAGGGAAAGAAGAAGGUGGUUGAGCCUGUUAAGGCAGUUGAAAUUGAUGAGAUGGACCUGGUCCUUUGGGAUAAAGAAGAGACAGAAGACAUGAAGGUUGUGACUCCAAAGGCUAAGAAAGUCAAGACUUCCACAAAGAAGUUUGUAUCAAAAACAAAGUCUGCUAAGCCAUCUACUUUUGCUAAAAGAACCAGGUCUGCAUUGAAAUCAAAUCAAGUGAAAAUAGUGGAGAAUGAAGAAUGGAGUGGAGCAUAAGAAGAAUAUGAUGCUGAGAAGGACAAGAUGGUUAAAUUUGGGAAGAGAACCAUCUUGAAAGGUAGACUCCUCAUGGACUUGGAGUAGGAACGGAUGUUAAUGCUGCUGGAAAAGUUACAGUUGCAAGGUUGGAAGGACAUUGUCCUUCAGAUGGAUGGAAAGCUAGCUAGAAGUGAGAUUGUGGAGUUCAUGGAGAAUGUGAGAUCAAAGAUGGUAGGGUCACCAAUGUGCUUAAGAGGGUGGCAGUGAGGUUUGAUGAUAAAGAAUUGAGAGAGAUCUUAGGUGUACCGGCUGAAAAGUACAAUGAUUAUAAGAAGCUUAAAUGGCCAAGUCUAGAGAAUCUCCCCACUGCCCUUGCCAUUACUAGGAUGUUUGGUGACAAUGAAGAGGAGCUUGAGCCCAAGGCUAUUUACAAAAGUGAGAUGAAGCCGCCUCACAAAGUGUUGUUCGAAUUUUUUAACAAAGUUGUGCUGCCUAGGUAGGAAAGGAGGCACAUUGCCAUAUUCAUGGACCUGAUCCUUAUGGAAUGUCUGGACAGUGGGAGGCAAAUAAAUUGGCCUGGAUUUAUCAUCCAGCUUUUUGACAGGGUUCUAAAUGGCACCAAAACUCACACCGUACCCUAUGGUUUUAUUCUCACUAUUGUACUUGCACACUUCAAGGUACCCAUCAAGAAAUGGGAAGUUGGUACAAGCAAGAAUCAUUUUGGGGCAAACACUCUAACUGCUUGCGACUAUGAAGUCCAAACCACUCCCAAAGAACCUGGUUUAUCCAAAAAGGUACUAGUGAACAUCAAAAUGUGAGCUUUGGUGCAGGAAAGUGGGGCUAAGGAUGUUGAUAUUGAUAGGCUGAAGAAGAGGUUGGCAGAAGUGGAGACUAAGAGAGAUGCUCUCAGAGCUGAGCUAGCAAAAGAAAAGGAGAAGAAUGAUGGCAUUCUUCAGGAUAUGCUGAAACUGCUUCAAGCCAAAAACCAAGAACCUAGUCCUUUCUAGCCUUAAGCCUCCUAGCCUAGUUAGAUCAACCAGUGACCCAGGUGAGAUUUUUUUGUUGCUUCUUUUGCUCAAGAUCUAGUGUUUUAUUUCUUUUUAUGCUUUAUGGUAGGAACUUAUCAAUUAAUGAAAUUCACUGCUUCUAUACUAGAUGGCUAAUAUCCUUAGAUUGAUAGAUGAUACUUGAUUCCAUGAUUGCAUUUGAAGUAGCCCUAGUGGUUAUGAGUAAUUUCUAUUAAAAUCUAAUUAUUUAACAUAAUUAUGCAACUUUUCGAUGAUGCAAAAAGGGGGAAUUAGGUUGUGCUUUUACUUUGGACUGUGAUGUUUAUAACCAAAUGAACCUGGUCCUUGAUGAUUGGUGACUUCAAAAAGGUAAAGUGUUCUAACUUUGCGUUGAUGUUGAGUUGAUUGAAACAGGGCCUACACUUAUGAAAAACACAGAGUUUGUCAUCAUCAUAAAGGAAAAAUUUGUUGGCCGAGGUGAUGUUGGUUUUGAUGAUUGAUAAAUGAACUCAAGCAUGAACCAGGUCCAUCCACAGUGUACACAGAAGCAUAAGGGAUGCACGUAAGGGAGAUAAACUUAACUUGUUAUAUCUGAUAUCUCCUGAUAAAAAAGGUUGCAUAAUUGGUAAGGAGAAAGACUCCUUAUUCAAAGAGAACACUAUCCAAGAUAAUGAAGGAAUUAGAAGUUGAAGUUAACUAAAACUCUUCCAUCAAGGAAGAGUAUAGCAUUGGACUCUAGUUAUUUCUUAUUCUACUAACUCUAUAAAUUACAGGAUGUUCUCACUUUACAGGUAUGCCCAAAAGCUGAAGUUAAACGUGAGUUGAGAGUAAAAUAGCAAGGCAUUUUGCAAGCAAUUCUUGUGUGCGAACCUGAAGCUAC